UCGAGAAUCUUCGGCAAUGGACGCAAGUCUGACCGAGCGACGCCGCGUGUGGGAUGAAGGCCUUCGGGUUGUAAACCACUGUCAGAGGGGAUGAAAUGCCGGUGGGUACUCCCAUCGGUUUGACAUAGCCUCAGAGGAAGGACGGGCUAAGUUCGUGCCAGCAGCCGCGGUAAGACGAACCGUCCAAACGUUAUUCGGAAUUACUGGGCUUAAAGGGUGCGUAGGCGGCGCGGAAAGUUGGGUGUGAAAUCCCUCGGCUUAACCGAGGAACUGCGCUCAAAACUACCGUGCUCGAGGGAGAUAGAGGUGAGCGGAACUUAGGGUGGAGCGGUGAAAUGCGUUGAUAUCCUAAGGAACACCGGUGGCGAAAGCGGCUCACUGGAUCUCUUCUGACGCUGAGGCACGAAAGCUAGGGUAGCGAACGGGAUUAGAUACCCCCGUAGUCC
RNAcentral lists this ribosomal RNA (446 nucleotides) under uncultured bacterium. Its description in RNAcentral is "bacterial SSU rRNA". It matches the Rfam family "Bacterial small subunit ribosomal RNA", at positions 355 to 796 of the family's 1533-position model. The record is from RNAcentral.